RNAcentral lists this ribosomal RNA (801 nucleotides) under uncultured bacterium. Its description in RNAcentral is "bacterial SSU rRNA". It matches the Rfam family "Bacterial small subunit ribosomal RNA", at positions 88 to 885 of the family's 1533-position model. The record is from RNAcentral.
CCGGCGAGUGGCGAACGGGUGAGUAAUGCAUCGGAACGUACCCAGUGGUGGGGGAUAGCUCGGCGAAAGCCGGAUUAAUACCGCAUACGCCCUGAGGGAGAAAGUGGGGGAUCUUCGGACCUCACGCUAUCAGAUGAGCCUAGGUCGGAUUAGCUAGUUGGUGAGGUAAAGGCUCACCAAGGCGACGAUCCGUAACUGGUCUGAGAGGAUGAUCAGUCACACUGGAACUGAGACACGGUCCAGACUCCUACGGGAGGCAGCAGUGGGGAAUAUUGGACAAUGGGCGAAAGCCUGAUCCAGCCAUGCCGCGUGUGUGAAGAAGGUCUUCGGAUUGUAAAGCACUUUAAGUUGGGAGGAAGGGCAGUAAGUUAAUACCUUGCUGUUUUGACGUUACCAACAGAAUAAGCACCGGCUAACUUCGUGCCAGCAGCCGCGGUAAUACGAAGGGUGCAAGCGUUAAUCGGAAUUACUGGGCGUAAAGCGCGCGUAGGCGGUCUGAUAAGCCGGUUGUGAAAGCCCCGGGCUCAACCUGGGAACGGCAUCCGGAACUGUCAGGCUAGAGUGCAGGAGAGGAAGGUAGAAUUCCCGGUGUAGCGGUGAAAUGCGUAGAGAUCGGGAGGAAUACCAGUGGCGAAGGCGGCCUUCUGGACUGACACUGACGCUGAGGUGCGAAAGCGUGGGUAGCAAACAGGAUUAGAUACCCUGGUAGUCCACGCCCUAAACGAUGUACACUAGUUGUUGUGAGGCUCGACCUUGCAGUAAUGCAGUUAACACAUUAAGUGUACCGCCUGGGGAGUACGG